This is a long non-coding RNA of Oreochromis niloticus (Nile tilapia), 2081 nucleotides long. The record is from Ensembl. Lineage: Eukaryota; Metazoa; Chordata; Actinopteri; Cichliformes; Cichlidae.
AUGGGCUGUGGACAGCCUCCUAGCCUUCAACUCCGCCCUUACUUGCGUGUUUUUCCCAUUCGCCAGCGCUACAGCGCGAAAACUUUAAAAUGGACCCAGAAAUGUCGCUCCUUUGUGUGGACAAUUUUAUUUCUCGAGGAGCUUGAAAACCCUUAUCGUCGUCGCCCACACGUUUUGUACCUUAGGCUCAUCAGAGACAAUCAUAUCCAGCACUUUAUCAAACUGUUGUCUGCUACAGAGUUACAAGUAUUAUACUAAUAAUAUAGCAUCCACCAUCUUCUGCUUGCAUAUUUCUGAAAACAUCUUAGUGGUGUGGCAGCCACGAGUGAGCCAGCCCUGCAAACCCUGUGGAUGGACGAUGCAGUGGGCAGUGGGAGGAAGCAUCCUAAAGCUCUCUAUGCGUUACCAUAGCGACCACAGAGCAUUAAGCGGCAGAGAGGAGGAUGUUACUGUCAAUAUUGGCGCAUUUUCAGGAGGACGCUGCUAAUAAAGUUACACAAUUACACAGUACAUUCACGUUUAUUAUUAUAUUUACAAAAUACCACAGUUUUUGUCUUGGUCGGAUCAUUUUAUGUUGUUGUUUGUAUUUCUCAACAAUGCCUUAAAGGCCGGUCCGUGUCUGACAUAAACCGGUCUGUGACGCAAGAAAGGUUGGGGUUCGUUGCUGUACAGCAUGAAGGUUAAUAGGACCACACUCAUAUGAAUAUGAUUAUGUAAAUUGAUUUAUUCUUGUACCUCCACGCCGUAGCGGCCCAAUUCUUCACCCCAGUGAAGAGGCGAUCGUUUUCUCCUCGUUUUAAUAAAUUAAGGUGUUUGGUCUUUGUUCCCCACAACAUAUCACCAAAAAAUCUAAAUUAGCUGUAUGUAAGCGGUAAUACGUGAAAAAUCGCGGGACCCCCGAUACAAGCUGGUUUACGGUUAUUUUAAAGAAAAGAAACAUGUCUAUGCAGAUGCCCAAAGCUUAACAAAACGACCGCUAUAACAAUUUAACUUUUGUACAACCAGAUUUUCAUAUGCUUACAUUUGAAAGUGUUUUCCUCUCCUGCUUCGACCACCAUCGUUAUCAGAAACAAAUCUCCUCUAUGACCCGCAAUGAAUCCUGGGAUAUAGUAGGACAUGAAGGAUACAUCAGACCAUCCUUAGAAUUCAGGGCAAAGUAGGACGCAUUUGUCGCCACAUUUUAAUAAUAAUAAUGAUAAUAAUAAUGCAUUGGAUUUAUAUAGCGCUUUUCAAGGCACCCAAAGCGCUUUACAAUGACAUUAUUCAUUCACACUCACAUUCACACACUGGUGGAGGCAAGCUACAGUUGUAGCCACAGCUGCCCUGGGGGAGACUGACAGAAGCGAGGCUGCCAUAUCGCGCCAUCGGCCCCUCUGGCCAACACCAGUAGGCGGUAGGGUAAAGUGUCUUGCCCAAGGACACAACGACCAGGACAGAGAGGCCGGGGAUCGAACCGGCGACCUUCCGGUUACAGGUGCCCUUCCCAACCCCCUGAGCCAUAGUCGCCCAUUUUGAGUACUCUUUGAAUUCGGACAGCCUUCGUCGCGUCGCCGUGACGUCAUUGACUCCAAAUAUGGCAUUGGCGUAUCCUUCCCCUGAAUUCAGACACGACUAACCCUCAAAUUCGCUGAAAAGUAGGACACAUUUGUCACCACAUUUUGAGUGCUCUUUGAAUUCGGACAGCCCUCGUCGCGUCGCUGUGACGUCAUUACCUCCAAAUAUGGCAUUUUAAGCAUCCUUCCCCUGAAUUCGGAAACAGCCAACAUGUCUUGACGUUCUCCAGAGGCCUGGUAAUGAGCUAAUCAUCUGAUUCAGGUGUGUUGACCCAGGGUGAUAUCUAAAACCUGCAGGACACCGGCCCUCGAGGCCUGGAGUUCGACACCCCUGCUAUACAGGAAGAACAUGCAAACUCCAUCCAGAAAGGCCCAGGAGAAAAAAAACUAUUUUGAAUUUAAAAGGGAUGUAUUUCCACUUCUUACACUGAGCCAAAUUAUAAGAAGAGAUUUUUUGCACUGUGUGCAGUUUAUGACUGAGAUUUAGUCAUUAACUGAAGACACAGCCAGCAGUCUGUGCCGGAGCUG